AGUUCGUAGUGACGUAGUCCAUCCGCUGUCAAGCCAACGAGCCCAUUGGAAUACCCGGGCGAGGUGGCCCAGAUCCGACAGCUGCUGCUGGUUCCUCCCGGCAGUUUCAUCGAGCGGCGGCCGCCGCCGUUUCAUCCAGGAGAAAUCCGGGGAGCGGCGACACCAAGAAAUCAAUGGCGGCUUGGUCAUCCACCAUCUGUGGAGGAUAGGCAACUCCAGCGGACUCCCCUGCCCCCACAUGGCCUGCUCCCUCCCGGAUCCCACCCUGCCCAAGCUCUCCUGGCCACGAGCUCCCUUUGCCGGGCUCCUUCGCGCCCGGCGGCCAUGGAGGACACCCCCGUGCGUGUUGGAGCCAUCCACGGCCGCGGCGAGCAGCUUCCACACGUGCACGGAGAGGGCCUCGAGCCGCGUGGCGCGGUGGCCGGAUAUGCUGGGAUCUGGGAGCCGCGCGGAGGCGGUCGACAUCGGCGGCCUCGACUGCACACGAGGGCGGUAGCGAGGAGCGCGUUGGGGAGACUGCGCGGGUUGUACCGCACGAACUCGGCGACCAGCGACGGGGCGUACCGGGGGCAUUUGGGGGCGGAAGAGGGAGUACCGGUCGUGGUAGGGCUCCCACGGGAGAUCCCCGUCGCUGGCGAGCAUCGGAGGGCUGCGUGGAGGCAUCCCCGACCGGCGGUGACAGGGCGGAAGAAGAGGCGUGUUACCUUGCCUGGUCGACGAACUCAAUGCAAGAGCAUUCACAAGGGUCGCUGAGAUCAAAUCAUAGUAAUGUCCAGCUUCUUACUCUCUUUCUUCGGAACCAAUUAUUUCUACUACUCGAGGUCAGAGGAGAAGUUUCAAGUGGUCUGUUGGGCGCCUGCUUAGUCGCGAAGGUAGAUGAAGUAAUCAUGACAACUGUAGUUAAAUUUAGGUAUAUACAUUGAUUUUCAUCUUAUUUUGUCUACUAUUUUCCUGAAGUAAGAGCAUAAUUAUGUAAAGGGUUUUCAUUAUUUAGCUGAACAAUACAGGAGACCAUCUUAGUGUUUCCAGUGCAACUACAGGAGCACUCUCAUAAUAGCCAUUACCUAGAGAAAAUGUCAUAACUGACAUGCUUUUCACUUCACAAUCAUCAUUCCUAUGCCACCAUUUUCUGUUUUAGGGACGUGAACAUUGAUUUAUUAUGAUGAGCUUAUAUUUGAGAAUGCCCUGGUCAACUAACUCCAUAUACCGUAAUGUAAAUUUCAGUUUUGUUUUGACAAGCUGGAGAUGCUGAUUUUAUAUUUCUUGGGGGAAAUAUGAAUGAACUAAAUUAAGUGGUCUAAAGUUAGUUUUGUUUCAAGAUUCCGAGGACAGGGAAAAAAGCUUUGCUUACCAUGAUACCAAUAUACCUGUCGUACAUGCUUCAUGUGUUGGCACUUUAGUAGGCGGACUUCAAUGGAGGUACCUCAUAUAAGGCGAACCUUGUGCUAGAGAACUAUUAUUUUAGAUUCCAUUGCAGAAGAGGAGAGCCCCGACUCGCAACACCUUGUGGUUGAUUCAUAUUUUUAUAUUAUCUCUUGCUGGCUAAACUACCAUUUUGUUAAUCUGGAUUCACCAAGAUCAAAAACUUCUAAGGUAUCUCUGUUUCUCUAGGUGAAGGAAAUUAAACUGGAAAAUGUAUUGAUGGUUCAACACAUUCUUCACUCUAGCUUUCCAUGUUACAUUGCCCAUAAUUAUCAUGAUGGCAUGGCUAUUUGUCAUGUGCAUGGAGCAUCAGACCUAUUUAGCACCUUUAUAUGUAAUACUAAAUGGGGUGAAAUAACGGAUGCCUUAUGGUGGACGCCAGUCAAUCUUAUUCUGAUCGACCAAGUAAGGUACCACGGGUAUUUCCAUGGAAGUUAAUUGAUGAAUAUAUAUACAAGGGAUCAUAGAUGAUGUAAUAUUUCGACCUAUGGACUCAUUGACAUUCAGGUUCUUAAUUUGAAAUCUUCAUUUCUGUUCGUUUUCAAAUUUCUUGCUAGCUUAACGUCCAGGUUUUACUGGCCUAGAUAUACAUUUGAUGUAUCUGCUCCGCCUUACUUUUUUAUCUGCCAAUUGUGUAUAUAAGUUGGCUGUUGAUUCUUCGCAAUAAAGGUGUACAUAUUUGUAGUUUAAUCUGAUUACAUGUCACUUAUCAUGCUUAGGCCCGCAGCUGAUUACCUUUUCCCCGAUUCUUUCACGGUGCAGAUUCAUAUGUAAACUGAAUGCUAAAAGAGAGGGCUGCUCCCAUCGCACUCACUUGGCUGCUGGAGCAGGGUUGCAAGCUCAACGUUUACUUGAGGGCGAAUUUAUCAGAGGUGCAAACAUGAGCUUAUUUUAAGUGGAUCCUUAAUUUUAUUCACUGUAAAUUUGCUCAACUGAAUUUCACUCUUUUAUUUCAUAGACCAGAUGCUCUCUCUAUUACAGACUAUUUCUGUACAUCUAUCUAAAAAGUGUAAUUACUCCUUAGUUCUGACCAAUGUUUUAGCAUGUAAUCCACUUACAUCGUGGGUCCCUAAGCAAAUGCUAUUUUCCUCUUAAAUCCAUGUAUACUAUAGUACAUGUUCAUCUCUUUCAGUUGCAAUGCGUCCCAUGUUUUAUGGGCAUUCUAGCUCUUCCAUUGGUUGUAAAAUAGAGUGGUAUUAGUCCUUGGUAUUUUUAGUGAUGAUAAUAACAUAUCUCAGUGAUUCUAUUGCAUGUUUCUAGACAAGGCAUUGGGAGUUCAUUUACUGUUGAUUUGCAUCUAUGGAGUUGGGUAGUUGCUGAAUGCCCUUGCAAGAUUGUAUGAGUUUGUGUUACCAUCAUUGAUCUAGGAGUUCUGAGUUAUUUGUCCCUUUCUUGAAACUGCGGCGGACUUCACUAGACAGUUCACAUAAAGAAAGUUCUUCGUGCAAGAAUGCCAUCGAAGUAAGGUCUUAUCUUUGGUAUCUAUUGAAAUGUCUACGUUUCUUAGCCUCCAGAUCGUUUUUCUUUUGGUAAAUCAUUGAAUGAAAGAGACAGUAGUUAUGCUUAGAUUGUGGAUCAUCAAAGACAGUUCAUCAAUUAUUUUCCUCUAUUCCUUACUAAUUGAUACUACUAGGAAUGCGGAAGGUAGUUCAUUGUAAUGAUGCUGUCCUAUAUUGUCAAUUGAUAAGAAAGCAACUACAAGUAUAGAUUCUUGCAUAUGUAUCUGUACUUUAUCCCGCUGUCCUUUGUUUCCGGUAACCAAUGCAUGGGUUCACAUGUUAAAACAUGGAUAUGCAUUCUGCCAUUAUGUUUAUGAGUUAACGCAAUUGUCCAUCUACCAAUAUGAGUAUGUCAUCUCACUUAAGGAGAUCUGUUAUUUUCUUCAGAAUGAAUAGCAACGUUUUGGUUUAGGAAUUUGUGUAUUUCUAGAGAUCCAUAACUUGCUUUCCUAUGUUAUUGUUUUCUGUUAGGAAUCUCUUAGUGGUUAUCCAUUUCUUUGUUAAUUCACUGCCAAGUUAAUAUAUUAGGUUAUCUUAUUGCUUAGAGAGUAUUGUGCUUCUGUUCAUUGAUCCAGUUUCCUUAGCUAAAAAGGGAGAUGAGUAAGUGUAUGCGUAUUGAUGAUAAAUAGCUGUUUUAUAGCUACUGCUGCGUUCAGUUUAUUUGUGUAUCACUCCUCAAAAAUGAUCAAGCUGCAUAUCCAGAUUAUGGGCGUUGUAAGCUUUUUGUCCUGAUGUGAUCUCAUUAUCGCUGAUGGCAAUCCCUGUACGCAGAAGUAAUAUUGUGUAACGGGAGUUGUUAACAAGCCUUUAGAGUGAUAUGCUGCCCAUGUUUCUGGCUACCACAUUCUGGUCAGUUCCUAUUACAUUUAUGUACAAAUGUGUACUGCCUGAUGCUUUUCUAAUACUUAAUUUUUUUUAUUUUUCAUUCUCUCAGCAGAUCUCUACCGAUGGAAUAAACUGUGUGCAUACAUGUUUAGCAUGUUUGGCCUAUAGCAUAUGUGUCUCCAGUCUAGGGUAUGUGAAGAAUGAGAAAGCUAUAUGUUUGUAUGUCAUUGUGAUAAACAAUGAGACUUGUGGUGCAUGCCAGUAUGAUUUCAUAUAGAUUUGCUUAGCAUGUCCUGCUUUUAUAAGAUGUAGUACGAUCCACUAUGUGUAUAUUAAGAACAUAUGUUCAGUUAUCGGCAGUGUUUAGUUUAUGUUUUUCCUCAUGUGUGUCAUAAUCAAUGAAAAAAAUAGCACGCUAUAACAAAUAGCAACAUCCAUUAAAAUCCACUAUUUUGGUGCUAUAGCAUGCAAAUAGUGAACAAAUGUA
Molecule: non-coding RNA, 4233 nt
Organism: Lolium perenne
Lineage: Eukaryota; Viridiplantae; Streptophyta; Magnoliopsida; Poales; Poaceae
Source: RefSeq, a predicted model, not a curated record